Molecule: ribosomal RNA, 492 nt
Filed under: uncultured bacterium
Lineage: Bacteria
Description: partial 16S ribosomal RNA
Rfam family: Bacterial small subunit ribosomal RNA
Source: RNAcentral
AGUGAACGCUGGCGGUAGGCCUAACACAUGCAAGUCGAACGGCAGCACAGUAAGAGCUUGCUCUUACGGGUGGCGAGUGGCGGACGGGUGAGGAAUACAUCGGAAUCUACUUUUUCGUGGGGGAUAACGUAGGGAAACUUACGCUAAUACCGCAUACGACCUACGGGUGAAAGCAGGGGAUCUUCGGACCUUGCGCGAUUGAAUGAGCCGACGUCGGAUUAGCUAGUUGGCGGGGUAAAGGCCCACCAAGGCGACGAUCCGUAGCUGGUCUGAGAGGAUGAUCAGCCACACUGGAACUGAGACACGGUCCAGACUCCUACGGGAGGCAGCAGUGGGGAAUAUUGGGCAAUGGGCGCAAGCCUGAUCCAGCCAUACCGCGUGGGUGAAGAAGGCCUUCGGGUUGUAAAGCCCUUUUGUUGGGAAAGAAAAGCAGCAGGUUAAUACCCCGCUGUUCUGACGGUACCCAAAGAAUAAGCACCGGCUAACUUCGUG